Molecule: ribosomal RNA, 253 nt
Filed under: uncultured bacterium
Lineage: Bacteria
Description: partial 16S ribosomal RNA
Rfam family: Bacterial small subunit ribosomal RNA
Source: RNAcentral
UACGUAGGUGGCAAGCGUUGUCCGGAAUUAUUGGGCGUAAAGCGCGCGCAGGCGGUCCUUUAAGUCUGAUGUGAAAGCCCACGGCUCAACCGUGGAGGGUCAUUGGAAACUGGGGGACUUGAGUACAGAAGAGGAAAGCGGAAUUCCACGUGUAGCGGUGAAAUGCGUAGAGAUGUGGAGGAACACCAGUGGCGAAGGCGGCUUUCUGGUCUGUAACUGACGCUGAGGCGCGAAAGCUAGGGGAGCAAACGGG